Molecule: ribosomal RNA, 253 nt
Filed under: uncultured bacterium
Lineage: Bacteria
Description: partial 16S ribosomal RNA
Rfam family: Bacterial small subunit ribosomal RNA
Source: RNAcentral
UCCGGAGGGUGCAAACGUUGCUCGGAAUCAUUGGGCGUAAAGCGCACGUAGGCGGCGGCAUAAGUGUGAUGUCAAAGCCCAGGGCUCAACCUUGGAAGUGCAUCCCGAACUGUGUCGCUUGAAUCUCGGAGGGGGACAGAGAAUUCCCGGUGUAGAGGUGAAAUUCGUAGAUAUCGGGAGGAAUACCAGUGGCGAAGGCGCUGUCCUGGACGAAGAUUGACGCUGAGGUGCGAAAGCGUGGGGAGAAAACAGG